AACGCGAAGAACCUUACCCAGGCUUGACAUACAGUAGAAGUUAUCAGAGAUGAUAACGUCCGUAAGGACUGCUGAACAGGUGCUGCAUGGCUGUCGUCAGCUCGUGCCGUGAGGUGUUGGGUUAAGUCCCGCAACGAGCGCAACCCUUAUCGUUAGUUGCCAGCACUAUAAAGGUGGGGACUCUAACGAGACUGCCUAGGUUAACUAGGAGGAAGGUGAGGAUGACGUCAAGUCCGCAUGGCCCUUAUGUCUGGGGCGACACACGUGCUACAAUGGUCGGUACAGAGGGCAGCGAAGUCGUGAGAUGGAGCAAAUCCCUAAAGCCGAUCUCAGUUCGGAUUGUAGUCUGCAACUCGACUACAUGAAGCUGGAAUUGCUAGUAAUGGCGCGUCAGCCACAGCGCCGUGAAUACGUUCCCGGGCCUUGUACACACCGAGACGAC
RNAcentral lists this ribosomal RNA (442 nucleotides) under uncultured bacterium. RNAcentral describes it as "bacterial SSU rRNA". It matches the Rfam family "Bacterial small subunit ribosomal RNA", at positions 958 to 1398 of the family's 1533-position model. The record is from RNAcentral.